Molecule: ribosomal RNA, 273 nt
Filed under: uncultured bacterium
Lineage: Bacteria
Description: partial 16S ribosomal RNA
Rfam family: Bacterial small subunit ribosomal RNA
Source: RNAcentral
UACGGAGGGUGCGAGCGUUGUCCGGAUUUAUUGGGUUUAAAGGGUGCGUAGGUGGCUUUAUAAGUCAGUGGUGAAAUACGGUUGCUCAACAAUCGAGGUGCCAUUGAUACUGUAAAGCUUGAAAUAAUUGGAGGCUGCCGGAAUGGAUGGUGUAGCGGUGAAAUGCAUAGAUAUCAUCCAGAACACCGAUUGCGAAGGCAGGUGGCUACGAUUGGUUUGACACUGAGGCACGAAAGCAUGGGGAGCAAACAGGAUUAGAAACCCGAGUAGUCC